Molecule: RNase P RNA, 375 nt
Filed under: Salmonella enterica
Lineage: Bacteria; Pseudomonadati; Pseudomonadota; Gammaproteobacteria; Enterobacterales; Enterobacteriaceae
Also listed under: 1 other name
Description: RNase P RNA component class A
Rfam family: Bacterial RNase P class A
About the family: Ribonuclease P (RNase P) is a ubiquitous endoribonuclease, found in archaea, bacteria and eukarya as well as chloroplasts and mitochondria. Its best characterised activity is the generation of mature 5'-ends of tRNAs by cleaving the 5'-leader elements of precursor-tRNAs.
Source: RNAcentral
GAAGCUGACCAGACAGUCGCCGCUUCGUCGUCGUCCUUUCGGGGAGACGGGCGGAGGGGAGGAAAGUCCGGGCUCCAUAGGGCAGGGUGCCAGGUAACGCCUGGGGGGGAAACCCACGACCAGUGCAACAGAGAGCAAACCGCCGAUGGCCCACGCAAGUGGGAACAGGUAAGGGUGAAAGGGUGCGGUAAGAGCGCACCGCGCGGCUGGUAACAGUCCGUGGCACGGUAAACUCCACCCGGAGCAAGGCCAAAUAGGGGUUCAUAAGGUACGGCCCGUACUGAACCCGGGUAGGCUGCUUGAGCCAGUGAGCGAUUGCUGGCCUAGAUGAAUGACUGUCCACGACAGAACCCGGCUUAUCGGUCAGCUUCACCU